Molecule: ribosomal RNA, 440 nt
Filed under: uncultured bacterium
Lineage: Bacteria
Description: partial 16S ribosomal RNA
Rfam family: Bacterial small subunit ribosomal RNA
Source: RNAcentral
CCUACGGGAGGCGGCAGUAGGGAAUAUUGCUCAAUGGGGGAAACCCUGAAGCAGCAACGCCGCGUGGAGGAUGAAGGUUUUCGGAGUGUAAACUCCUUUUGUUAGAGAAGAUAAUGACGGUAUCUAACGAAUAAGCACCGGCUAACUCCGUGCCAGCAGCCGCGGUAAUACGGAGGGUGCAAGCGUUACUCGGAAGCACUGGGCGGAAAGAGCGCGUAGGCGGGAUAGCAAGUCAGAUGUGAAAUCCUAUGGCUUAACCAUAGAACUGCAUUUGAAACUGUUAUUCUAGAGUAUGGGAGAGGUAGGUGGAAUUCUUGGUGUAGGGGUAAAAUCCGUAGAGAUCAAGAGGAAUACUCAUUGCGAAGGCGACCUGCUAGAACAUAACUGACGCUGAUGCGCGAAAGCGUGGGGAGCAAACAGGAUUAGAUACUCUGGUAGUC